RNAcentral lists this long non-coding RNA (208 nucleotides) under Lathyrus oleraceus (garden pea). RNAcentral's name for it is "Pisum sativum (pea) long non-coding RNA (PSAT_LNC012597)". The record is from RNAcentral. Lineage: Eukaryota; Viridiplantae; Streptophyta; Magnoliopsida; Fabales; Fabaceae.
UUCCAUACCAUUUUUGGGAUGUCUAUACGAUUCAACGCAAUGAUGUCUCUCAUAAAUCUCAAUACAAAAAAUCCGCAAUCGACCGAAUUAUUUUGCUGAGGACACUACACAGAAAAACAAACAAUAUAUAUAUAGUUAAUUUCUUACAAACACUAUUAUAAGCAAAAAAACAAACACUAUUAUAAGCAAAAAUAAGAUACUUAAUAUA